GGGAGACUGUAUGGGUAGGAUUUGUGUAAAUUGAAUCUUAACUUCUUUUGGAAGCUUUUUAUUCUCAGACCCACAAAAGUAUUUCUCUCUCCAUUUUUUUCCACAUCUAUUGAUUUCAUAGAUUUGAUAAACAAAAGAAAGAAAGAAAAAAAAAUCUGAUCCUCUAUUUCCAUAUCCAUCUGAACUCUAUCUAUCUGAUAGAUCUGAAUUGUUGAAGACUAAAGCCAAAUCUGGUUUCAAAGAAGGAUUGUCAUGGAAAAACCAAAGUGGGUUUGAAUACUAUUUUAGAUUUUCACUCCUGGAAACAGACUAUCUCGAUGAGGAAAUAACAAGGGGAUAUAUAUUUGUAGGUUUGAUGAUAUCAUUCAUAUAUGAAUGAUGACGAUAUAAAGUGUUUUUAAAAAGGAAAAAUUCACCAGAUCAUGGAUCAACAUAUACAAGGAGUUGUCAACCUUAUUGAUCUUGCUGGUAGUGAACACCUUUCUUAAAGUGGAUCGACUCGGAACGACUAAAAGUGACAUUUUAUACUACAAGUGACAUUUUAUACAAUGUGAUAACUUAUAAAGAUAAUAAAGUGUUUGGCAGGACUGGAUCUCUAUUGGACUGAAUCUUGACACAAAAGGCUUAAUUAUUAAUAAUCCAUUUACUUUUUGUUUAUAAGUUUGCUUUUUAACCCAUAUAAUCUAUUUACUAUGUGAUAUAGUUGCAGCUACAAUCAUUUGCUUUACUAGAACAUGAGAACAGCAUGAAAGGCACAACAGAUAACAAUAUUUAUAUUUAUGUUUGUUUUUGGGCUUAAGGUUAGCGGUGCAGCUUAUAAACUUGAACAACGGACCAAAUUUGUUUCAUAGAGACUGCCCAGAAGGAACCGAGGAAAAAGGGAAUCGUUCUUACGUUGAAAAAGUCAGCAGCCAACCCAUAUGGAAAAACCAAGGUCAAGAAAUUUUGAUAUAUGUCAAGAUGAUUUGAGUAGCAAAUGGGGAAAAGGGAAGUUGGUUAUCAGCAACAAGAACGCUUUAAGCCCAUAUGUAUCUACCAAAUAAAAAGUGCUCUCUAUUCAGGUUAUUAUUGGGUCAGCCACAGUUCGUGGGGGGUUUAAGCUGGGGCUUUCAAGAUUGGUGAUACUACUGGUACACUCAAUUAUAUUAUGCACAACAAACUGUAUAUACGGGCUAAAAGGGGUUUGGGAACUUAAGUUAAGAACACAACUCAAAUUGUUGAAUGGGUAGAAUGUUGUCCAUAUUUAAAACAGACGAUAAGAACACAACUCAAAUGGUCGAAUGGGUCAGAAAGUCGCCCAUAUCUCAUGUUUAUAAAUUGUUACAUAUAGCAAUAAUGCAGCUAAUGUUUUGGACAAGAAUAGAAAGGCAAUCAAAGGUGACCCUAAGGAAGAACAGAAAAAGGGGCGAUGCAUUUGACAUGGUGUUGGCUUUCUUGAUUCUACAAUAGUCCUUAAUCCAGGUCUUUGGAAAAGAUUCUUUAAAGAAGACAUUUUGAUUGGGAGAAGAGGUGGGCAAUUGCUGUUUGUUGGCACUACUGUUGGUUUGUUAAGUUUGAGAUAUUGGCUUCUUUAAGUAAAUACUUUUGAAUUGAUGGCAGUUAGUUUGAACAUAA
Long non-coding RNA from Erigeron canadensis, 1614 nucleotides. RefSeq lists it as uncharacterized. The transcript is spliced from 5 exons. NCBI's taxonomy places the organism in Eukaryota, Viridiplantae, Streptophyta, Magnoliopsida, Asterales, Asteraceae. The record is from RefSeq and is a predicted model, not a curated record.